RNAcentral lists this ribosomal RNA (253 nucleotides) under uncultured bacterium. RNAcentral's name for it is "partial 16S ribosomal RNA". It matches the Rfam family "Bacterial small subunit ribosomal RNA", at positions 524 to 776 of the family's 1533-position model. The record is from RNAcentral.
UACGAAGGGGGCUAGCGUUGUUCGGAAUUACUGGGCGUAAAGCGCGCGCAGGCGGCUAUCCAAGUCAGUGGUGAAAGCCCGGAGCUCAACUCCGGAACUGCCAUUGAAACUGUUUAGCUUGAGGAUGAGAGAGGUGAGUGGAAUUCCCAGUGUAGAGGUGAAAUUCGUAGGUAUUGGGAAGAACACCGGUGGCGAAGGCGGCUCACUGGCUCAUUACUGACGCUCAGGCGCGAUAGCGUGGGGAUCAAACAGG